RNAcentral lists this ribosomal RNA (460 nucleotides) under uncultured bacterium. RNAcentral describes it as "partial 16S ribosomal RNA". It matches the Rfam family "Bacterial small subunit ribosomal RNA", at positions 338 to 795 of the family's 1533-position model. The record is from RNAcentral.
CCUACGGGUGGCAGCAGUGAGGAAUAUUGGUCAAUGGACGCAAGUCUGAACCAGCCAUGCCGCGUGCAGGAAGACGGCUCUAUGAGUUGUAAACUGCUUUUGUACGGGGGUAAACGCAGAUACGCGUAUCUGUCUGAAAGUAUCGUACGAAUACGGAUCGGCUAACUCCGUGCCAGCAGCCGCGGUAAUACGGAGGAUUCGAGCGUUAUCCGGAUUUAUUGGGUUUAAAGGGUGCGUAGGCGGUCGGAUAAGUUAGAGGUGAAAUCCCGGGGCUUAACUUCGGAAUUGCCUCUGAUACUGGUAGGCUAGAGAGUAGUUGCGGUAGGCGGAAUGUAUGGUGUAGCGGUGAAAUGCGUAGAGAUCAUAAAGAACACCGAUUGCGAAGGCAGCUUACCAAGCUACUUCUGACGUUGAGGCACGAAAGCGUGGGGAGCAAACAGGAUUAGAUACCCUGGUAGUC